AGAGUUGCAGAUUUAACUGAUUGAACCACUCAGGCACCCAUACCAUUUCUUUUACGUGGAUACAGCAUGAAAGCAGCCAUCUAUCUAUAAGCCAGGAAGAUUGCUCUCACCAGAACCUGACCAUGCUAGCACCCUUAUCUCCAAUCUCCAGCCUGCAAAAUGGUCAGCAGCCUCCAUCACUUCCACAACUUCUUUGCCCAGCCAUGCCGCAGUUGGCAAUAUGGCCAGAAACAUCUCAGCUUCUGGAACAAAGCUAUUGCUCACCGUGUCAUUCAAAUGCUGGAGAGCAAGGAUAAAGGAAGUUGGCUUUGGUGACACAGUUCAAAGGAGGGACUCCCCAGCAGCAGAGGUGGAACCAACAUAGGACAUCUUCUGAAUGUGAAUCCUCUCACUAUGUAAGAGCUGUUAUAUUGCUACAAAUGGUCUCUCUGGAGUAAAUGUUUUCACCAGAAGUCCUAGACAUUUUGUAAUGCAGUCCUUCCAAAGUAUCCAUUGGUCCUUGGCUCUCUACCCCAUCAAGCUUCUUUUGUAGGACUCUUUGUUUUGUACCAUUUGAAGAGAUAAAUAAAUAAACUGAAGUCAUCUUUUCCUUAAAA
Canis lupus familiaris (dog) is the source of this 596-nucleotide long non-coding RNA. RefSeq lists it as uncharacterized. The record is from RefSeq and is a predicted model, not a curated record. Lineage: Eukaryota; Metazoa; Chordata; Mammalia; Carnivora; Canidae. The transcript has 4 exons.